UACGUAGGGUGCAAGCGUUAUCCGGAAUUAUUGGGCGUAAAGAGCUCGUAGGUGGUUUGUCGCGUUGUUCGUGAAAACCGGGGGCUUAACCCUCGGCGUGCGGGCGAUACGGGCAGACUUGAGUACUGCAGGGGAGACUGGAAUUCCUGGUGUAGCGGUGGAAUGCGCAGAUAUCAGGAGGAACACCGGUGGCGAAGGCGGGUCUCUGGGCAGUAACUGACGCUGAGGAGCGAAAGCGUGGGGAGCGAACAGG
This 253-nucleotide ribosomal RNA is filed under the name uncultured bacterium. RNAcentral describes it as "partial 16S ribosomal RNA". It matches the Rfam family "Bacterial small subunit ribosomal RNA", at positions 524 to 776 of the family's 1533-position model. The record is from RNAcentral.